Molecule: transfer RNA, 74 nt
Filed under: Lachnospira multipara
Lineage: Bacteria; Bacillati; Bacillota; Clostridia; Lachnospirales; Lachnospiraceae
Also listed under: 2 other names
Rfam family: tRNA
About the family: Transfer RNA (tRNA) molecules are approximately 80 nucleotides in length.
Source: Rfam by way of RNAcentral
ACACAUGUAGCUCAGCUGGAUAGAGCGUUUGCCUCCGGAGCGAAAGGUCGCGGGUUCGAAUCCCGUCAUGUGUA